RNAcentral lists this ribosomal RNA (465 nucleotides) under uncultured bacterium. Its description in RNAcentral is "partial 16S ribosomal RNA". It matches the Rfam family "Bacterial small subunit ribosomal RNA", at positions 28 to 507 of the family's 1533-position model. The record is from RNAcentral.
GAUGAACGCUGGCGGCGUGCUUAACACAUGCAAGUCGAACGGAAAGGCUCCUGCUUGCAGGGGUACUCGAGUGGCGAACGGGUGAGUAACACGUGGGUGAUCUGCCCUGCACUUCGGGAUAAGCCUGGGAAACUGGGUCUAAUACCGGAUAGGACGAUGGUUUGGAUGCCAUUGUGGAAAGUUUUUCGGUGUGGGAUGAGCUCGCGGCCUAUCAGCUUGUUGGUGGGGUAAUGGCCUACCAAGGCGUCGACGGGUAGCCGGCCUGAGAGGGUGUACGGCCACAUUGGGACUGAGAUACGGCCCAGACUCCUACGGGAGGCAGCAGUGGGGAAUAUUGCACAAUGGGCGCAAGCCUGAUGCAGCGACGCCGCGUGGGGGAUGACGGCCUUCGGGUUGUAAAUUCCUUUCGUCAGGGACGAAGCGAAAGUGACGGUACCUGGAUAAGAAGCACCGGCUAACUACGUG